This 148-nucleotide non-coding RNA is filed under the name Homo sapiens (human). The record is from Rfam by way of RNAcentral. Lineage: Eukaryota; Metazoa; Chordata; Mammalia; Primates; Hominidae.
GCCAGGUGUGGUGGUGCACGCCUGUAGUCCCAGCUACUUCGGAGGCUGAGGCGGGAGAAUCACCUGAGCCCGGGAAGUCAAGGCUGCAGUGAACUGUGAUUGUGCCACUGCACUCCAGCCUGAGUGACACAGUGAGACCCUGUCUCAA